Molecule: ribosomal RNA, 475 nt
Filed under: uncultured bacterium
Lineage: Bacteria
Description: bacterial SSU rRNA
Rfam family: Bacterial small subunit ribosomal RNA
Source: RNAcentral
CGUAGACUCCUAGCGGGGAGGCAGCAGUGGGGAAAUAUUGCACAAUUGGGCGCAAGCCUGAUGCAGCCAUGCCGCGUGUGUGAAGAAGGCCUUCGGGUUGUAAAGCACUUUCAGUUGUGAGGAAGGUGGUGUCGUUAAUAGCGGCAUCAUUUGACGUUAGCAACAGAAGAAGCACCGGCUAACUCCGUGCCAGCAGCCGCGGUAAUACGGAGGGUGCGAGCGUUAAUCGGAAUUACUGGGCGUAAAGCGCAUGCAGGUGGUUUGUUAAGUCAGAUGUGAAAGCCCGGGGCUCAACCUCGGAACUGCAUUUGAAACUGGCAGACUAGAGUACUGUAGAGGGGGGUAGAAUUUCAGGUGUAGCGGUGAAAUGCGUAGAGAUCUGAAGGAAUACCGGUGGCGAAGGCGGCCCCCUGGACAGAUACUGACACUCAGAUGCGAAAGCGUGGGGAGCAAACAGGAUUAGAUACCCUGGUAG